This 498-nucleotide ribosomal RNA is filed under the name uncultured soil bacterium. RNAcentral's name for it is "partial 16S ribosomal RNA". The record is from RNAcentral.
CCCAGUCAUGAAUCACAAAGUGGUAAGCGCCCUNCNGAAGGUUAAGCUACCUACUUNUUUUGCAACCCACUCCCAUGGUGUGACGGGCGGUGUGUACAAGGCCCGGGAACGUAUUCACCGUAGCAUUCUGAUCUACGAUUACUAGCGAUUCCGACUUCAUGGAGUCGAGUUGCAGACUCCAAUCCGGACUACGACGUACUUUAUGAGGUCCGCUUGCUCUCGCGAGGUCGCUUNUNUUUGUAUACGCCAUUGUAGCACGUGUGUAGCCCUACUCGUAAGGGCCAUGAUGACUUGACGUCAUCCCCACCUUCCUCCAGUUUAUCACUGGCAGUCUNCUUUGAGUUCCCGGCCGAACCGCUGGCAACAAAGGAUAAGGGUUGCGCUCGUUGCGGGACUUAACCCAACAUUUNACAACACGAGCUGACGACAGCCAUGCAGCACCUGUNUCAGAGUUCCCGAAGGCACCAAUCCAUNUCUGGAAAGUUCUCUGGAUGUCAA